UUUCUUCUGUCUCCUUUGUAUUUCAUUCUCCUUUCCUUUUUGUCAGAUUUAUUCCCUUCCUAAAUCAUUUGGUACAUUCUCUUUAUAUCCUUGGUAGCCGUGAUUAUUUCCCCUGCUGUUCUUUUUAUCGUCUUUAUAUUACUCUUGCUUCUUUUCCUUUGUCUUUAUCGUCUCUUCUUUUCAUCUCCUUUUCUCUUUUUUUACUUCCUCCUUUGCUUCUAUUAACUUAUCAUACUCCUACAUGUCGCUUUGUGACAACCAAAAAGUCAAAUAGUUGACGGAGUAAAUUUCCAAACAACGUUCUAUGUUUAUUCUAUGAUGGUUACCGUAUUAGUUACCCUAUGAAAAACUGUUGGUUAGUAUGUAGAUACACUAUGGGUGGGACUAAAUGCACGAGAAAGCUCUGCUUUUGAGUGUGUUUUAGUCCUACCCAUCGCGUAUCUUCAUACUGACCAAUCGUUUUUCAUUAGGGUAAAUAAUAUGUGCCAUGGUUGGUUUUAGAAAACAAUAGA
This 512-nucleotide long non-coding RNA is filed under the name Mytilus galloprovincialis (Mediterranean mussel). The record is from RNAcentral. Lineage: Eukaryota; Metazoa; Mollusca; Bivalvia; Mytilida; Mytilidae.